Molecule: ribosomal RNA, 326 nt
Filed under: uncultured Bacteroidota bacterium
Lineage: Bacteria; Pseudomonadati; Bacteroidota
Description: bacterial SSU rRNA
Rfam family: Bacterial small subunit ribosomal RNA
Source: RNAcentral
GAUGAACGCUAGCGGCAGGCCUAACACAUGCAAGUUGAGGGGCAGCAUUUGUAGCAAUACAAGAUGGCGACCGGCGCACGGGUGAGUAACGCGUAUGCAACCUACCCAUAACAAGGGGAUAGCUCCCGGAAACGGAAAUUAAUACCCUAUAGUAUCCCGAGAACACAUGUUUACGGGAUUAAACUAAGGUGGUUAUGGAUGGGCAUGCGUGCCAUUAGCUAGUUGGCGGGGUAACAGCCCACCAAGGCGACGAUGGCUAGGGGGGUCUAAAAGGAUGAUCCCCCACACUGGUACUGAGACACGGACCAGACUCCUACGGGAGGCAG